AGAAUCAACGCUGGCGGCGUGCCUAACACAUGCAAGUCGAACGCGAAAGGGGAGCAAUCCCUGAGUAGAGUGGCGAACGGGUGAGUAACACGUGGGUGACCUGCCUUCGAGUGGGGGAUAACGUCCCGAAAGGGACGCUAAUACCGCAUAACAUCCUUCCUUUGAACAGGGAGAGAUCAAAGCCGGGGAUCGUAAGACCUGGCGCUUGAUGAGGGGCCCGCGUCCGAUUAGCUAGUUGGUGAGGUAACGGCCCACCAAGGCGACGAUCGGUA
RNAcentral lists this ribosomal RNA (272 nucleotides) under uncultured bacterium. RNAcentral's name for it is "partial small subunit ribosomal RNA". It matches the Rfam family "Bacterial small subunit ribosomal RNA", at positions 26 to 285 of the family's 1533-position model. The record is from RNAcentral.